AAUUUUAAUACAUGAGACGCAAGGUGUCUAGCCUAUCCAAACAUAGAAUAGAAUGACUAUGUUAAAUAAAGGUUGAAUAAGCAAUUUUAAAUAAAACCAAGGAACGAGAUAAAGAUAAUACAUUAAGUUAAUGUGAAUAAAGUUAAUACAUUAAGUUCAUGUUGACAGCUCAGGAGGAGCAAAUAAAGGAAAUGGAAAGACUGGAAGUAGAAGUACCUAUUAAAUAAAUUAUUUUUAGGUUUAAUGCUUUAUAACUUUCUUUGUCAAGUUCUUACUUCUUGACAAAGCUUGAUAGCUCUUCCUCCCAUUCCUUCCUUCCGAAUCUGUGGCCUCCCAAUCUCUUCUCCUCUCAACUUUCUUUUGCUCUAGAUCUUUUAUUUAGUAGAAUGAAAAAAUAAAUUCUUGCAAGUAUACUUGGAUUGGGUAUUUAUAGGAAGCUAAGACCAAGGGCACAAUAGUCAUUACGCCGUCACUAGGAAGAGCAAAAUGUUC
RNAcentral lists this long non-coding RNA (492 nucleotides) under Panax ginseng (ginseng). Its description in RNAcentral is "long non-coding RNA (PGIN_LNC016716)". The record is from RNAcentral. Lineage: Eukaryota; Viridiplantae; Streptophyta; Magnoliopsida; Apiales; Araliaceae.